Molecule: non-coding RNA, 2450 nt
Organism: Bactrocera oleae (olive fruit fly)
Lineage: Eukaryota; Metazoa; Arthropoda; Insecta; Diptera; Tephritidae
Source: RefSeq, a predicted model, not a curated record
AUCUUUAGGAAUUAAAACAACCGAAAAAUAUUUGAAUAUGUAAUAAAAACAUUCUUAAAGUUAUAAAUUUUAAAACAUAACACGGCAACACAUUAUAGCAGAUUUCUGUCAUUUGGACGUUUUAGUAGCAGAAUAAUGGUUGGCAACCCGUACAAAGUGUGACUUUAGUAGCAGAAUAUUGGUUGGCAACCCGUACCAAGUGUGAUUUUAGUAGAGAAUUUUCGAGGCAACCCCUACCAAUUGGGAUAUUUUUGAAUGUGUAUUAGUGAAAAUCUUAGGAUUGGCUACUUGUAGAUUUAUACAAUGGCUUAGAUGGAGGAGGAAUUGUAAUUGAAAUUUGUAGUAAAUAUAAAUAAUACAAAAAGAGGAUUUAACGAAAAAAUGUAGUAAUUCUGGAAGAAAUCACACUUCAAAUUAUAGGGGUUGCCUUGUAUAUACAGAAUUGAAAUCGAAAUUACCGCUGGGAAUUUAAGCACGCCGAAACCAAAUGAUAAAUAUUCGAAGUUAUUGAAAUCACUGACCGCAGUCAAAAACGUUGUUAUGUUAAGAAUAACGUAAUACAUGGAAGUUAUGCAAAUGUGGUAAAAGACAUAACUGUUCAAAUGCAAUUGUCUCGAAACGAACCAAGGGGAAACGUUAAAAGUGUGAUUUUAAAUCUUACUCAAUGUAUGACACAAUUUAUGUCUGCAAUGCAAAAUAUGAUUAAAGAUUUAAACAAAGCGCAAAACCCUAUGCUGCAACCUUUUUUAAUAUUGGGGCUCACGUCUAAUUCAUCUGAAGGGAAAGCAACUGUAAUACACUAUUUAUGAAUAUAAAAAAUAACCUUUACAUAAUUUCUCUUGCUAAGCCGACAUACUGGCAAAGUGAUCAAAACAAAAUACCAUAUUUAAUUGAUAUUGCUGUACUUAAAAAUAUAGAUAGAUCGCUUAUAACUGCUGAUACAUGUACUGACUUAUUUUUUGAUUACUCUGCAGUACUAAUAAAGCUAUGUGAACAACCCUUGGUUGUAUCACCAAAAGUGGUUUUAACAUCCCAUAAAACGAAGUGGUUAAAAAACAAACAAUAUGUCAGUAGCCACAUAAAUGUUGAUUACAAAAAAACUCAGAAAAAGACAUUGAGCAAACCAUAAGCAAACUUAAUGAUUGCAGUCGCCAAAAAAGUGCUAAAGUGUGUGGAAUACGUUACUUACCUAAAGAAAUUUAGCCCAAAUACAACCAACAAACAAAACUACUUUGGAAAGCCCAAAAACACAUUAUGCCACGGUAGAUUCCUACAUGUCCAUAAGAUACGUGAGUAGUAAAUUGGCUCGAAGUGAUAAGGAAAAAGUAAUUUGCUUCGCAAACCACCUAGAGAUGGCAAUUCAGCCUGAUUGUCGAAAAAACGACUUUGAGCUGCCAAUUUUAAAAGAUUCACAAAGUUGAAAUUACUGCAAAUAUGCUAAUGAAGCUACCAAUUAUUGCUGCAGUAAUGCUCUCCUUGCUUUUUAAUGCAAUUUUAUUUUUUGAAUAUUAUCCAAAUUCAUGGAAAAGUCGCAGAUCAUCCUGAUAGCUAAACCCGAGAAAUACUUAACACAGUCGUCUUCUUACAGACCAAUAAGCCUCUUACUCUAAUUUUCGAAAAUAUUCAAAGAAAUGUUACUAUUAAUGAUGUCCCCUUUUCUCCAUAAAAAUAAUAUAAUUCAAACACACCAAUAAGGGAACCGUCAAAAGCAUGGCACUGUAGAGCAAGUAAUUUGAAUAAAUAAAGAAAUCAGAAAAGCAUUCGAGCACAGAGAGCACUAUUAAGCAAUAUUCCUUGAUGUAGCCCAAUCAUUCGAUAAGGUGUGGCACGACGGCCUUUUAUAUAAAAGACAAUACUGGGCAUUCGCUUAGACAGAAGGCUCACAUGAAGAAUACAUAUAUCCACCAAAAUAACUAGCAUAAAAUAUGAGCAGCAAAUUUAAACUUUCAAUUAAAAGUUGUAAGCUAUGUCUUUAUAACAAAGUUCUGAUAUACAAUGUGGUAAUAAAGCCGAUUUGAAUGUAUGGUAUUCUAAUGUGGGGUGCGACCUGUGCAACAAACAUUAACAUAGCACAGAGAUCUCAGAUAAAAAGCCUUAGAGCGAUAACGACUCACCAUAGUACUUUCGAAAUGAAAACGUUCAUAAAUAUCUUGGUAUUUUAAUGGUAAAGAAACUAGCAGAGGUCUGAAAAAUACGAACUUAAAUUUCGAGAACAUCCGGAUCCAUUAGCUAGCUCCUGUUAUCAAAACCACUUGAAAAUAAGAGAUAUUCCAGUUUUUUAAAGAGCAACGCAUUAGCAAAAAGCUUAAUCACAAUCUUGAGCUUGUUUAGUUAUAAAUAGAUUUAAGAUUUUAUCACUUUAUGUUAGACUUUAAGUAAGCCGAUUAAAAAAAAGAAAUGUACAAUAAAAAAAAUUGGUUUUAUGUGACCUAAAAAUUCGGAGACACAAA